AGGUCUGGGAGAGGUGACUGCCGAGGCGGCCAUCCUGCUUGGCCAGCUGAAGGACCAGGUGCCACCUCCUCUGGGAAGCUUUCCCUGCCCGUCCACAGGGUAUGCCUCCUUGUUCCUCUCCUGCCAUCGGUUUACGUGCCUGUCUCCAUCAACAGACCAGGAGCUCCUGAGGACAGGGACUGAGUCUGCCUGAUUCAUCUCUGCAUUCCUAGCACUUACCUUGGUGCUUAGUGAAAGCUCGAACCUGCCUGGGUUCCCACCUUGUCUCUGCUACCCCCAGCUCUGUGAACUCAGAGUCAUUUUUCUCUCCCCGAGUGGCACCGGGCUCAGCAGACACUCUGGCCAUGAAGGCAUCUUCUGACUCAAGCAGGUCUAGAUGUCUACCCCCAAGGAAUCCCAGAACAGUUGAUCUCUCUUUUUAUUUUUUUAUUUUUUGAGAUGGAGUUUUGCUCUUGUUGCCCAGGCUGGAGUGCAAUGGCGUGAUCUCGGCUCACUGCAACCUCUGCCUCCCAGGUUCAAGCAAUUCUCCUGCCUCAGCCUCCCGAGUAGCUGGGAUUAUAGGCAUGCACCACCACGCCCAGAGCCAACUACUAAGCCUGUAGCAGCCUCCCAAACUGCCCAGUCUUGUUCAGAUGCACCUCCAGAAACACAGGGGUCCAAAAUGCCCCUUCCCAGACACCCUGAGGAGUAGAACAGUGCCAGCAGGCUCCAGGGAUGAGGGACUAGCUACCACAUUCCCUUUCCCAAGCCUCAGUUUCCCCACCUGUAAGAUGAGGGAUAUGGGCUCUGACUUUCUGAGUUUGGAAAAUAAAGUGCUCCCCAAACUGG
RNAcentral lists this long non-coding RNA (828 nucleotides) under Homo sapiens (human). Its description in RNAcentral is "HSALNT0318128". Lineage: Eukaryota; Metazoa; Chordata; Mammalia; Primates; Hominidae. The record is from RNAcentral.